CGUCCUAUCUCCCUCUAGUCUGUCCAGUAGUCCACAGGGUUGAUAGCAGCAAUAGAACUACAGCAAGAGCUUCUGCUGUUUGCUGCUGCUGCCUGCAGGCUAGCAUUAUUUCUUUAUUUUUUUGCUCUAAGGAAAACUUUUAUUAUUAGAAAUUUGAUUGUUUUAAUCAACGGAUCACUUUUUGAAUCGUUUUUAAAUUUCUGUGGAAUAUUUUCUAAUUUUUAGCCAAGGAACAUUUGGAUUCUGGAGACACUCAUUGCUGUUUACUACCUGGAUUAACCUGGACUAGCUUUCUCUCCAUCAGCUGUUCAAGUUGUUGUUUAGAAGAUGAGCUCCACUGAGGGCCUCUUUUUCUCCGCUUUACAGCCCCCCACCUCGGUCACCACCUAUGCAGUGCCGUCUGACCAGCAGCUGGGCUCGGACCAGCUGGCCAAAGCCAGGCGCGUCCAGCAGCAGGUCCAGCAGCGGCUGGCCGAGAAAGCAGCGUCCAUGCCGAGGCUGGCUGGAGCUCCAUCUGCCUGCUCAGAAUAUGAUGGCCCGUCCACGAUGAGAUACCAAAGCCAAGGCGCUGGAUUCAGCUCCAAGUCACUAAUGUACAACGGCACCAGCAGAGUAAUAAACCCCCGGUUGUCUCAGUAUGCUGGAGGAUUCAGCUCUCGCUCGGCCGUGGAGACGGGCACUCAGCGCAGCAGGAUCAGCUACGGCGUCCCCAUGCCAGCUGUGGUGGGCCAUCCGUAUGCUUGCUACGAUGACCAGUACAUUGGCGGCCAUUACGCAGGCCAGGCUCACGCUUCCGACUCCAGAGCGGUCAGCCGGAUUGAGCAGGACGUAGCAUCACUAGGCCUUCAAACAGUACCGCUACAGUCCUCCCCUGUGCCCAGCUGGAUGAACCAAGAGGGCAUGGCCUCCACGGAACAUCACACCUACUACGGCCCCAGCACUUUACCCAACGAGGCACCGAUACGACGCACGCUUAGCGGUACGCUAGCUCGUGAGGGGAUGAACAGAGGGUGGAGGGAGGCGGAGCUUGCUCAUCAGUAUUCUUACAAAGGCCCUGCUCACCGCACCAUCACCCGCAUGAACAACCGGCAGAUGCAGCAGCAGAGGAUGAACAACAGCACCAUGCAGUGGCAUCAGAUGUCCAGCGGGGGCAGCACCAUGAUAGCCGGUGGGCACUACCAGACCGGCAUGAGGAGGGCGGGGUCCAUGCACAGCCUGAAGAGCGUGGGCCGAGGGGUGGACAUACUCGAUGCUGGAGUUGAUGGAGCUACAGGCAGUGAUAUUCAAGGAGGAUUUCAUAGCCUGGACAUGCCAGCUGCAGUCAGCUAUCUCAGCUCCUCAGACGUUUCUAUGCAGAUGUUGGGAGCAGCGUAUGUCCAGCACCAGUGUUACCACAGCAGCGACGCCAAGGACCUGGUUCGAACCCUGAAGGGCAUCCCUGCACUGGUGCAGCUCUUCAGCAGUGAGAACCAGGAGGUGCAGCGCUACGCCACCGGCGCCACUCGCAACCUCAUCUACGAGAACAUGGACAACAAGACUGCACUUAUAGAAGCCGGAGGCAUCAGCAAACUGGUCAGUGCACUGAAGGAGCCGGACGAUGAGCUCCGCAAGAACAUCACAGGCAUUCUGUGGAAUCUGUCGUCUAAGGACAGUUUGAAGGAGCGAUUGGCGAGGGAGAGUUUAGUGGAGCUGAAUGAGAGAGUUCUGGUUCCUCUGUCUGGAGGAGGAAAUUCUGGAGUUAUCCAGCAGAGCCCGUCAGAGGCCGACAUAUUCUACAACACCACAGGCUGUCUCAGAAACCUGAGCUCAGUGAAUGGAAGGACCCGGCAGCAGAUGAGGGAGACUCGAGGGCUCGUAGACUCCCUGGUGGGGUACAUCCAGAACUCUCUAGAGGAGGGAAAAUCUGAAGACAAGGGUGUAGAGAACUGUGUGUGUGUUCUGAGGAACCUGUCCUUCCAGCUGUACACUGAGAUCCCCCCGUCAGUGCAGCUACGCUUGGAGGGUCCGACCCGAGCUCAGGACAGCCACCGCAGAGACGCCAUCGGCUGCUUCACUCCACAGGGGAAAAAGACCAAAGAUCAGAGGAACCAGGAGCUGUCUACGUUCACAGAGGUGGCGCGAGUGCCCAAGGGGGCGGAGUGGCUGUGGCACCCACAGAUCGUGGGGAUCUACAACCGCAUCCUGCAGAGCUGUGAUACGAACACCGCCACCCGCGAGGCUGCGGCCGGGGCUCUGCAGAACAUAACAGCGGGAGAGAGCCGGUGGGCGUCGGUAUUGAGCCGUGUCGCUUUGGAGCAGGAGCGAAUGCUGCCCGUUGUUCUAGACCACCUGCGGACCCCCACCGACGCCGAGCUGCGCUCUCUCACCGGCCUGCUGAGGAACCUGUCCCGACACACCAAGAACAAGGCCGAUAUGGCUACCAAAGUGGUCAAUAUCCUGGUGACCAAGUUGCCUAGCGACGGGCUUCAAAAGGAGCCGCCCAGUGACGUGGUGGUCAACGUCUGCGGUGUUCUCAACAACCUGGUGAUUGCGAGCUCCAUGGCUGCGAGAGAUAUCGCCUUCUUUGACGGACUGCCCAAGCUGGUGGGCAUCAAGACCUCCCAUGACAGCAGUCCAGGAAAGCUGAAGGCGGCUAAGGCGGCCGCUACAGUGCUGGGGAACAUGUUUCAAUACAGCAAACUCCACAAAGACUACAAGCAGAAAGGGUUUACGAGGCGAGACUUCAUGGAUGGAGCUAUCUGAGACACUUCGUUCUUAGAAGUACAAAAUUGAUGUGAAACUCAACCCGACCAACGCAGUCAUCCACCGAGUCCCAACAAAACGAGGGACAUUCUGAGGACUCGGACGAUAUGAAGACUUGUCGGAGCCAGCUUGAGUGCUUUCUGUUUAGGCCACUUCUCUAAAUUUGAUUGGUGUGGAAUUCUGGGAAGACUGUGCAUAUUUCUUCUUCCUCCUCGGGAGUGCAACUGGAUGCAUGCUUUGGAUCAGAUCCAGCUCUUAUAGGGAGUGAUGUGUCCGGGCUGAAGUGAUGGAGUGAACUGUUUUUGUAACGAUUAUAAAAGCUUUGACUGAUUUGAGUCAACAGCACCCAUUAAAUAAAUAAAAUAAAUAGAUUAUAGUAAAGUAUCAGCAGCAGCUCGCCACAGAAAUGAAGGAGACGGUCGUGUUGCAAUAAAUGCAAAAAAAAAGGGCAGAAUUAGGCUCUUUUUACUCAUUUAUAUGAAAAAAGUCUUUGUAUAUUCAGACUUAAUAUGCAACAAAAGCAAAGUUCUGCUGUGCAAACAUCUUUAUAGAUGUAUUUUUUUUUUCUUGGGUGCCACCAUAUUUUGGAAAACAACAGCUAUACAGUAUAUAUUUUUUAUGAUAAUUAUAUAUUUAAAAAAACAUUUUCAGCUAUUUUCAGACUAAUUUCUGUUCAAAUUAAGCAGAUAAUCUAAACAUUUUGACAGAUUUUUACAAGAAACCUGUAUUUCGUUGCAAGUCCAACAAAACCUUGUAUCUCCAUUUUUUUCUAUUAUUUUUUAAAAAUAUAAUUUAAAUCUGGUAUUUUUGGUAGUUGUUUAUUAUUUGCAUUGUGUCAUAGUUUCAUCAUGAAUUGACCAUUUCUUAAAGAAAUUCUCCAAAUAUAUAUAUAUAUAUAUUAUUAUUAUUAUUUUAUUUUUUUUUUUUUUGUGCCUAUUACAAAGAGAUACAAGGUUUUGGUGCAACCACAACAAUAUGGACAGUACCAGUCAAAAGUUUGGACACAUCUUCUCAUUCAAUGUUUUUUUUUCUCUUUAUUUCUUUAUUUAAUGUAUUUUCUACAUUGUAAAUUAAUAUUAAAGACAUGAACGAUGAAUGGACACAUAUAAAAUUAUGUAGUAAACAGUUUACACUGUUAAACAGUAAAAAUGAUUAUUCCUCCUUAUUAAUCCCCUGAUCUAAACCUGAUGAACUGAGAUGGUGAUUUGAGGUGAUUUAAUUGGGAUGAGCUGGAGCUUCACAGCAUGAAGGAAAAGAAGCAACUAUUGUUCAGCACCUCCAGGAACUCCUUCUUUCAAGACGCUGAGAAAACUAUUCCAGGUGACUCUCCCUCAUGAAGAUACUGAGAUUAAAAUUAAACCAAGAGUCUGCAGAUCUGUCCUCAAAGAUAUAUGCGCCAUUUAUUUAGAAGAAUCGAAAGUAUAAAACAUAUUUUUUACUAAAUAAUUCAGCAUAUGUUCCUGUAGAGCUUUAAUAUAGUCUUCAAUAUUAAAUUUACAAUGUAAAAAAAAAAACAUAAAAAGAAAGAAAACACAUUGAAUGAGAGGAAAAGUGUCCAAAACUUGUGACUCGUACUGUAUGCCUCUAAUUUUAUACUUGUUUUUUUACACAGUAUGAAGAUAGAAAAUAAUCUAUGCAUUCUAUGGUUUGGAUCGAACCCCAGUUGUCACAGUUGUCGCACUUGUACCCGACUUUGGCCUUUGUAGAAAACAGUAUAAGGAAACAGACUGGAUGGCAUGCUUGCCCUCUCGCUCUUACUUCUAAGGGGCUGUGGCACUGUUGGCAUUCACCUGGUCAUGUGAUCAACAUUUUUUUGCAAGUGUGUUGAGAUGCUUGGCAGUGCUCAGCGACUUGCGUUUAAAAAAAGAUGUGCUGCCCUCCAUUGUUUUUUUUCUUUCCUAAAUCCGCUUAAUGACAUAUAUACAGCUCUGGGAAAAAAAGAGACCACUUAAAAUGAUGAAUUUCUUUGAUUUUACCAAAUUAAAAACCUGUGGAAUAUAAUCAAGAGGAAGAUGGAUGAUCACAAGCCAUCAAACCACCAAGCUGAACUGCUUGAAUUUGUGCACCAGGAGUAAAGCAGCAUAAAGUUAUCCAAAAGCAGUGUGUAAGACUGGUGGAGGAGAACAUGAUGCCAAGAUGCAUGCAAUCUGGAUUAUUCCACCAAAUAUUGUUUUUUGAACUCUUAAAACUUUAUAAAUAUGAUUCGAGGUCUGAAAGCUCUGCAUCUUUUUUGUUAUUUCAGCCAUUUCUCAUUUUCUGCAAAUAAAUGCUCUAAAUGACAAUAUUUUUAUUUGGAAUUUGGGAGAAAUGUUGUCUGUAAACAACAAUGUAUAUUAUACUCAAGCAUAAACCUAUAAAUAGCAAAAUCAGAGAAACUGAUUCAGAAACUCUCAAUUUUUCCAGAGCUGUAUUUAUAUAUAUAUUAGGUGUUAUUACUUUGUGUUGUGCUGGCUGUACAGUGAGUGGAUCAGAUACAGCAGUGCUGCUGGAGUUUUUAAACACUGUGUUUAAUCUCUUACUGUCCUCCACUCUAUUACACACUCCUACCUACAGCUGCUCCACCUUGUAGAUAAUGUAAAGUCAGAGACAGAAUCUCUAAAUCUGUUUCUGCACCGUUUUUUUGUGUUUGUGUUGGUCAUCCUCUAGUCCUUCAUCAGUGGGAACAGGAUGCUGCCUAUUCUCUGUCCAGCAAUGACAGUGAAGUUUUAAUAAACUCCAGCAGCACUGCUGCUGUAUCUGAUCCAC
This is an RNA transcript of Astyanax mexicanus (Mexican tetra), 5487 nucleotides long. It is a transcript of the gene named plakophilin 3b, with no coding region annotated. The transcript is spliced from 14 exons. The record is from RefSeq and is a predicted model, not a curated record. NCBI's taxonomy places the organism in Eukaryota, Metazoa, Chordata, Actinopteri, Characiformes, Acestrorhamphidae.